RNAcentral lists this unclassified non-coding RNA (90 nucleotides) under Pseudomonas arsenicoxydans. Lineage: Bacteria; Pseudomonadati; Pseudomonadota; Gammaproteobacteria; Pseudomonadales; Pseudomonadaceae. The record is from RNAcentral.
UGUGGGAGCGGGCUUGCCCGCGAUGAGGCCUUCAUAUUCGGCAUCCAAGUUGGCUGAUACACCGCCAUCGCGGGCAAGCCCGCUCCCACA